This 224-nucleotide long non-coding RNA is filed under the name Salvia miltiorrhiza (redroot sage). RNAcentral describes it as "long non-coding RNA (SMIL_LNC001998)". Lineage: Eukaryota; Viridiplantae; Streptophyta; Magnoliopsida; Lamiales; Lamiaceae. The record is from RNAcentral.
GGACCACGUAGCACUUCUGCGAUAGUGCUUCCCACGGCGGUCCGGAAUUAUAAUCUGAAGCCCAAUGAUUCAAACCUGUUGCCGCUCUUUUAUUGGGAUGCCCAGUGAGGACGCCUUGCAGUUCAUCCGUGAUUUCUGCACCCAAGUGCAGACAUUCCCACUGCUGGAACUCACCGAGGAUCAGUUGAGACUCAAGUGCUUACCCUACGCACUCAAGGACCGGG